CCUACGGGUGGCAGCAGUGGGGAAUAUUGCUCAAUGGGCGAAACCCUGAUGCAGCGACGUCGCGUGAGGGAUGAAUUAUCUCUGUAUGUUAAGCUCUAUCUGCAGGGGAGAAAAUGACGGUACCUGACUAAGAAGCCCCGUCUCACUCCGUGCCAGCACCGGCGGUAAUACGUCGGCGGCCAGCGUAAUCCGGAUUUACUGGGUGUAAAGGGAGAUUAGUCGGCUAAUCAAGUCAGAAGUGAAAACCCAGGGCUCAACCUUGGGAAUGCUUUUGAAACUGAGUAGCUAGAGUGCAGGAGAGGUAGGCGGAAUUAGUAGUGUAGCGGUGAAAUGCGUAGAUAUUAGGAGGAACACCAGUGGCGAAGGCGGCUUACUGGACUGUAACUGACGUUGAGGCUCGAAAGCGUGGGGAGCAAACAGGAUUAGAUACCCCGGUAGUC
This 440-nucleotide ribosomal RNA is filed under the name uncultured bacterium. Its description in RNAcentral is "partial 16S ribosomal RNA". It matches the Rfam family "Bacterial small subunit ribosomal RNA", at positions 338 to 795 of the family's 1533-position model. The record is from RNAcentral.